RNAcentral lists this non-coding RNA (116 nucleotides) under Alexandrium catenella. Lineage: Eukaryota; Dinophyceae; Gonyaulacales; Pyrocystaceae. The record is from RNAcentral.
UCUCGGCCAUGACGGAUGCAUAGAGGCUUCUUCCAGGAAGGAGUGGGGCCCCGCGCAGCUCCUGCCCGCCUACCCCAAGUGCGGGCCCACGCAGCCAGACCCGGAAGGGAGCGGCG